UCUACUUAUGUUCCAACAUCUUGGUGGGUUUCACUGAUCCUGUUUAGGUCUUAAAUAGAACUGGGAAAGAAGAAGGAACCAUGUGCUAGUCAUUCUGCCUCUUAUGCUACCUCCCUUGUCACAGUUUUUCAUCACCACAGUCCUCUGAACAGUGUCCCCCUGAACAGUAGCCAUUGUUUCUGGACCUCCAUUUUUAAACCUUUUCUUUCUCUUCCUGAAGAUAAAGAGCAAUGCUAAUAGUUCUGAGCAAACAUAUUGGGAAGAAAGUUAUGCAAUGUAUAACGGUUGGGCAGGAAGCUGAGAUGAGAAUGCAAGAUGAGAAAAGACAAGGUAAGACUGAGGGCAGUACCCAAGACCAGGCAUAAGAUGAGCCAGACCCAGAGAGAACCUGGAAGCUGGAUAUAGGGAGAAAAACAUGAGACCUAGGCGGCAGACCUGGCUCCCUGCUUACCUGUGCCGUACCAGGCAAUUAAUUAACCUCUCAGCACUAAUUUUUAAUCUGUAUAAAAUGAGAACUAUACU
RNAcentral lists this long non-coding RNA (522 nucleotides) under Homo sapiens (human). Its description in RNAcentral is "HSALNT0307696". The record is from RNAcentral. Lineage: Eukaryota; Metazoa; Chordata; Mammalia; Primates; Hominidae.